RNAcentral lists this ribosomal RNA (427 nucleotides) under uncultured bacterium. RNAcentral describes it as "bacterial SSU rRNA". It matches the Rfam family "Bacterial small subunit ribosomal RNA", at positions 917 to 1345 of the family's 1533-position model. The record is from RNAcentral.
GGGCCCGCACAAGCGGUGGAGCAUGUUCUUUAAUUCGAUGCAACGCGAAGAACCUUACCAGGGCUUGACAUCCUGCGAACCUCUGGGAAACCGGAGGGUGCCUUCGGGAACGCAGUGACAGGUGGUGCAUGGCUGUCGUCAGCUCGUGUCGUGAGAUGUUGGGUUAAGUCCCGCAACGAGCGCAACCCACGUCUUUAGUUGCCAGCAUUUAGUUGGGCACUCUAGAGAGACCGCCGGUGACAAACCGGAGGAAGGUGUGGAUUACGUCAAGUCAUCAUGCCCCUUACAUCCUGGGCUACACACGUACUACAAUGCUACGGACAAAGGGCAGCAAACUCGCGAGAGCUAGCAAAUCCCAUAAACCGUGGCUCAGUUCAGAUCGUAGGCUGCAACUCGCCUACGUGAAGGAGGAAUCGCUAGUAAUCGC